This 624-nucleotide long non-coding RNA is filed under the name Felis catus (domestic cat). RNAcentral's name for it is "lncRNA (ENSFCAG00000044284.2)". The record is from RNAcentral. Lineage: Eukaryota; Metazoa; Chordata; Mammalia; Carnivora; Felidae.
ACUGCAUUCUAUAGACUGCAUUACUGUCUUCUAUACUACUGGUACACAGAAGAUAUCUGUAUAUAUAUAGAUAGAUACAGAUAGAUGAUAUAGAUACAGAUACAGAUUUUUUUAGAGAGGCUGAGAGACUCAGUGAGAGAGAGAGAGAGAGAGAGAGAGAGAGAGAGAGAGAGAGAGAGGGGAGGGAGACUGAGGGAGAGAGACAGAGAAUCUUAAGCAGUCUCCACACUCAGCCUGCCCAGUCCUAUGACCCGGAGAUCAUGAUCUGAGCCAAAAUCAAGAGUUGACCUCUCGAUUAACUAAGCCACCAGGUGCCCCCAGGAUAUUAUUUGAUAUUGUUUGGGUUUCUAUUUCUCAGAGUUGUUGUUUUUUUUUUUUUUUUCUUUUUUAGAAUAAGCAUGCUAAUUCAAUCAAGUAUAUUGAGCACCUUAUGAGCAUCUGCAGUGACUCUAAGGCUGUGGUGUUCAAAAUCAGUGAAGGUGCUGACUCUCAAAGAGGAGGAAGGCUCAUUUAUAUCACUUUGGUGGAGCAGACUUGAAGUAUCGCCCCAACCCAGUGAUCCAGAAGUCGAACUCAGUCAUUCUGCACAAUAAAGAUAACAGCUGCUGGCUCGGGUCCUAUUUC